AUUGAACGCUGGCGGCAUGCUUGACACAUGCAAGUCGAACGGCAGCACGUUGUGUAGCAAUACACAAGGGUGGCGAGUGGCGGACGGGUGAGUAAUGCGUAGGAAUCUGCCUUAAAGAGGGGGACAACCCGAGGAAACUCGGGCUAAUACCGCAUAAAGUUGAGAGACCAAAGGCUGGGGCAACCUGGCGCUUUAAGAGGAGCCUGCGUCUGAUUAGCUAGUUGGUGGGGUAAAGGCCUACCAAGGCGAUGAUCGGUAGCUGGUCUGAGAGGAUGAUCAGCCACACUGGGACUGAGACACGGACCAGACUCCUACGGGAGGCAGCAGUGGGAAAUAUUGGACAAUGGGGGCAACCCUGAUCCAGCAAUGCCGCGUGUGUGAAGAAGGCCUUCGGGUUGUAAAGCACUUUAGGCUGGGAAGAAGGUAUGUAGUUUAAGAGAUGACAUAUUUGACUGUACCAGCAGAAUAAGCACCGGCUAACUCUGUGCCAGCCGCCGCCGUAA
This 503-nucleotide ribosomal RNA is filed under the name uncultured bacterium. RNAcentral's name for it is "partial 16S ribosomal RNA". It matches the Rfam family "Bacterial small subunit ribosomal RNA", at positions 30 to 523 of the family's 1533-position model. The record is from RNAcentral.